GUCUAUGGUCAUACCACUCCGAACACACCCAAUCUUGUCUGAUCUUGGAAGCUAAGCAGGGUCCGGCCUGGUUAGUACUUGGACGGGAGACCACCUGGUGAUACUGGAUGCUGUAGGCU
Molecule: ribosomal RNA, 119 nt
Filed under: Propithecus coquereli (Coquerel's sifaka)
Lineage: Eukaryota; Metazoa; Chordata; Mammalia; Primates; Indriidae
Source: RNAcentral